UCCAAAUGAUGAAUUAACCAAUUGAGACCGCCGCUGUAGUUCGCCUGCCUCGAGACCUCGCCUCCUCCGUUGUCCUUACUUUCUCCGUUCAGAGGCUGCACGCAGCGCCUGACCGCCUCCAUUGUGGCGCUCCGUCUCUGCCUCACGGACUCCGCCGCCGACAGUCCCAACCCCCCACGAAAGCUAAGCAUUUUAUUUCAAAAUCUUGCUCAAAGUUCGAUAUUUGAAAAUUCAAACAUUUGGUUAUUGAUUUCAAACUUUUAGUUUUGGGAGCAAUUACCUCCGUUGAAAAAAAGUUGCAAGAAUAGGGAUAACUCUCUUGACUGUUGUUCUUGAUUUCUGACAAAAUCAUAUGAGCUUGAUUUGUAAGAGAUUGGAGGUUUAAGGAGAUGAAUUUGGAAUGUAAUCUAUUGAGGUUGAAAUAGGAAGUGUCGUGCUCCUUUCUCUCUUUCUCUUACUUUAGAAUUUUUUAUAGUGAAAUGUGAAAUUUGGGAUGAAAUUCUUUAUAGGUUGUGAGAAUCUGCUGGGUAUAAACCGUGGUGUUGUGUAAAAGGGGUUGAUUUUGGUGUAAUUGGAGCAGAUUGGUGAAGAACUCUUCCUUCGUCACGAGAAAUCAUGAAGAACUCGCCGGCUGCUGUGGCAGGGCAGUAUUUUUCUUUCACAACAAGACCUUGCCGAUUAUCCCUACCCUCGGAAGUAUUAUGUACAGUGAAAGCCUACAGCAUAUGCUCAGUCGGAGGACAACACCAACAUCUUGACUGCUGGAGUCAUGGGUAUUGUACAAAGUCGGGAAAGUUAGAGCUGUUCAAUUCGAAUGGUAUAAUUUUGGUUGAGUUCCUCGCCCUAUGGAGCGGUCAUUGUAAAGCUUUGAUAUCUGCGUGGGAGAAGGCAGCUACACUAGCUCAGCUAACUUUUUGUUGAAGAACUUAGUGCUUUCUAGAGAUGAUGAAGAAGGUGCCGAAGGUGGGAGUGCAGUGAGGGGCAGCGAUGGAGCACGAGUGGCAGUGCUGUAGAGCCUGUGUUUUCUGUACGGGGACAAGAGGGCAGAUAAGGAGCUCCCACAAGUGGGCUAAGUCAGAGGCCAUUCUGAGGGAGUUGGCGAUGCUAUGACAGUGCAGAUGCACGCUGAUCUAGCUUCGGAGGGCGGCAGUAAGCUAAGAUGCUCAUAACAUACUCUGACAAUCUUCCCACAAGCAAUCAUCAUCGCUCAAAUCUGGCGCAUUCAAAAUCUCAACUGCCAUUUGCUAAUGAUUCUUGAUUUCAGACACAAUAAUCUGGUUUUUAUUUCUGGUUGGAGGUGUGCGUAAAAGGGGUUUUGUGUAGAAAGGCGACAACAACGCUGGCUUCGCCAGUGGCAGAUGGCAGCUUCAGACAACUGAGACCAUGGCGAAGAGAAAACAGAUGGCAGCUUCAGACAACUGAGACCACGGCGAAGAGAAAACAGGAGAGACUGAAAGGAGGUUGAUUGAUUACAUGGUAUAUUUAAUAAUCUUCAAGCAUGUUGAUUCGCUGUCGGUGGCUGAUAGUGACUGAACGCUGGACGUUGUGAAAAUGUGAUUGUUCUGUUUGAAAACUAUACUACUCCACAAAACUAUUCUAAUCAACAUGUUUCAAUGUAACUUUAAUUCUCAAUUUAUUUAAUUUUACCUUUGUAA
Molecule: RNA transcript, 1655 nt
Organism: Salvia hispanica
Lineage: Eukaryota; Viridiplantae; Streptophyta; Magnoliopsida; Lamiales; Lamiaceae
Source: RefSeq, a predicted model, not a curated record